This 566-nucleotide small RNA is filed under the name Pongo abelii (Sumatran orangutan). RNAcentral describes it as "processed transcript". The record is from RNAcentral. Lineage: Eukaryota; Metazoa; Chordata; Mammalia; Primates; Hominidae.
UAUACACUAAGCCCUAUUCUGUUCAUUCUCUAAAAAGGUCUGAUGGUUUAGGUGUAUUUGAUUUCUUCAGCAGUGUUUAGAAUUCCAGAUAAUUGCUGUAAACAGCAGGUAUUUCUAGGACCUAAACAAGAUGUUGUGUUUUUUGCUUAUAGGUUUUGACUACAAGACUUGUAAUGUGCUGGUAGCCUUGGAGCAGCAGUCACCAGAUAUUGCUCAAGGUGUUCAUCUUGACAGAAAUGAAGAAGACAUUGGUGCUGGAGACCAGGGCUUAAUGUUUGGCUAUGCCACUGAUGAAACUGAGGAGUGUAUGCCUUUAACCAUUGUCUUGGCACACAAGCUAAAUGCCAAACUGGCAGAACUGCGCCGUAAUGGCACUUUGCCUUGGUUACGCCCUGAUUCUAAAACUCAAGUAAGUGAUGAUCAUAAAGCUUGGUUAUCUCAUUUAUUACAUCAGCACAGAAGAUCCAUAAUUUUGAUAAUAGCUAACUGAAGAAAAUAGCAUUUGUUUUCCUGUAUUGUAACUUCAGGUAGAGAAACAAAUACAAAGCUAUUGUUUGGUAUAAUGU